Molecule: signal recognition particle RNA, 303 nt
Filed under: Saimiri boliviensis boliviensis (Bolivian squirrel monkey)
Lineage: Eukaryota; Metazoa; Chordata; Mammalia; Primates; Cebidae
Description: Metazoan signal recognition particle RNA (ENSSBOG00000004620.1)
Rfam family: Metazoan signal recognition particle RNA
About the family: The signal recognition particle (SRP) is a universally conserved ribonucleoprotein. It is involved in the co-translational targeting of proteins to membranes. The eukaryotic SRP consists of a 300-nucleotide 7S RNA and six proteins: SRPs 72, 68, 54, 19, 14, and 9.
Source: RNAcentral
GCUGGGCAUGGUGGCAUAUGCCUGUAGUCUCAGCUACUUGGGAGGCUGAGGCUGGAGGAUCUCUUUAGUCCACAAGUUCUGGGCUGUAGUGUGCUAUGCCGAUCGGAUGUCCGCACAAAGUUCAGCAUCAAUAAUGGUAACCUCCCGGCAGCAGGGGACAACCAGGUUGCCUAAGGAGGGAUGAACCGGCCCAAUUCGGAAACAGAGCAAGUCAAAACUCCCAUGCUGAUCAGUAGUGGGAUUGCGCCUGAGAAUAGCCACUGCACUCCAGCCUGGGCAACAUAGUGAGACUCUGGGGUCUCU